AAUUAUGUCUGUGCUUACAAGGUCUUGUUCCGAAUACUCAAGAUUUUGCUUGAGCUUUCUGGCAGAGGCUUCCUUGAACAGGGCAUUGACAACAUCAGCACUUGUGCUUUUCUUCAGCGAGCAGGUUAGG
Molecule: ribosomal RNA, 130 nt
Filed under: uncultured eukaryote
Lineage: Eukaryota
Description: partial small subunit ribosomal RNA
Source: RNAcentral